CAGAGGUGAGAGAGUCAGUUAGACUGAUAUUAUAGGUCGGCAAACUAGCGGUAAGAGAUUGUUGAAUUGGCAUAAUAAUUCCCAGUGGCAUCAUCCGUUUCAAGGAGCUGAAUUCAGUUGAUAUAUUAAUUGUCUUUGCUUUUGGCUGUCCUGGGUGGAAGCACAAUUUUAUCAGAUGAUCAAUCAGGCUAGCAAACUGAACAAACAAAUUGCUCCCACUGUUUCCUUGGCUGAACCCUUUUUUAGCUUCUUGUAUGAUUGCUGCAG
Molecule: unclassified non-coding RNA, 267 nt
Filed under: Hevea brasiliensis (rubber tree)
Lineage: Eukaryota; Viridiplantae; Streptophyta; Magnoliopsida; Malpighiales; Euphorbiaceae
Source: RNAcentral